Molecule: long non-coding RNA, 1026 nt
Filed under: Homo sapiens (human)
Lineage: Eukaryota; Metazoa; Chordata; Mammalia; Primates; Hominidae
Description: non-protein coding lnc-HBE1-1:2
Source: RNAcentral
CUCUUUUUGCCUGCUGCCAUUCCAGUAGGAUGUGACUUGCUUCUCCUGGCCAUGGUUGUGAGGCCUCCCCAGCUAUGUGGAACUAUGUUGAGAAGGAACAACAUGAUCUAAGUCUUUAGAAACCAAGAGCCACGACUAGCUGAGGACACAAGAAUUUUCACAAAACAAAGUAGAGUGAUUCCAUAGAUCACUAUUAUAGCUGCAUUACCAGUCCUAGGACAGAAUAUGGAUGCUGAAAAAUGAUUCUUUCAAAGUGCUGAGUUGUUGCCUCACGCCCAGUUGUCUGGCAUCUCUUCACUGAAACUAUUACAGUUAGAUCUCAUCUCUAUGGGUGGAAGGAAAAAAUUCUGAGAAUGAUAUAGUCGAAGUGAUACCUUGAAGGUAGAACUGUGCACUGUGGUAAUAACAGAAACAGAAAGACAUUUCUUCUAUAUAAACCCAGGAUGUCGUCCAGCGGCAGCUCCCAUCCCUUCCUAUUGACUGGUUUUCCAGGCUUGGAGGAAGCUCAUCACUGGAUUUCCGUAUUUUUCUUGUUCAUGUAUAUAUCCAUCCUUUUUGGCAAUGGCACCCUCCUUCUUCUCAUUAAGGAAGAUCACAAUCUUCAUGAGCCCAUGUACUUCUUUCUGGCCAUGCUGGCUGCCACAGACCUGGGGCUGGCCCUGACCACAAUGCCCACGGUGCUGGGAGUCCUCUGGCUGGAUCACAGGGAGAUUGGAAGUGCGGCCUGCUUUUCCCAGGCCUACUUUAUACACUCACUUUCCUUUCUCGAGUCUGGCAUUCUGCUUGCCAUGGCCUAUGACCGUUUUAUUGCCAUCUGCAACCCUCUUAGAUAUACCUCUGUACUUACUAAUACUCGAGUAGUGAAGAUUGGGCUGGGAGUUCUGAUGAGGGGAUUUGUAUCCGUUGUUCCCCCAAUCAGGCCCCUCUAUUUUUUUCUGUAUUGUCACUCCCAUGUUCUUUCACAUGCAUUCUGCCUUCACCAGGAUGUCAUUAAACUCGCCUGUGCUGAUACCACCUUCAACCGAC